GACGUAGGGCGCGAGCGUUGUCCGGAUUUAUUGGGCGUAAAGAGCUCGUAGGCGGUCUGUUGCGUCGGCUGUGAAAACCCGGGGCUCAACCCCGGGCCUGCAGCCGAUACGGGCAGGCUCGAGUUCGGUAGGGGAGACUGGAAUUCCUGGUGUAGCGGUGAAAUGCGCAGAUAUCAGGAGGAACACCGGUGGCGAAGGCGGGUCUCUGGGCCGAUACUGACGCUGAGGAGCGAAAGCGUGGGGAGCGAACAGG
Molecule: ribosomal RNA, 253 nt
Filed under: uncultured bacterium
Lineage: Bacteria
Description: partial 16S ribosomal RNA
Rfam family: Bacterial small subunit ribosomal RNA
Source: RNAcentral